Long non-coding RNA from Brassica napus (rape), 1147 nucleotides. RefSeq lists it as uncharacterized. The transcript has 3 exons. The record is from RefSeq and is a predicted model, not a curated record. NCBI's taxonomy places the organism in Eukaryota, Viridiplantae, Streptophyta, Magnoliopsida, Brassicales, Brassicaceae.
ACACACAAGGAACGUCUCCUAACUAGGGGUUACAAGAACCUUGUCUUAGAGGACUCGUGUCGCUCCCAGAUGAUGCAAAAAAACCCGAUGUAGUCUUUCUUUUCUCUAUCUCUUCCUCUCUGUGUCUCUCCCGAUGAUGAAGAAAAUUGUAUGCAGCCGACUGGAGCACAGUGAGGAUCAGGCACUCAUGUCGGAGAAAAAGAAUAUCAAUAAGCCUCAAGAUCCAAAUCCGAGAUUUGCUAGCCAAGGUUGCAGCGUGUUGCUCGAUGUUAACGAUGGAGACCGUCUCGUCUUCGCUCGUCUAUCUAGUGGCGGAUGAGUCUUCUUCUUCUUCCAGAUUGAUUCUCAAUAUUGAUUGAAUUUAGUUUUUGAUUGAUUUAAAAUCGGGAAUACAAAUUACUCGUUAAAGCCAUUGAUCGGAGCUCCGUUUGGAUCUCUGUUCCAAGUCGAAACCGGAGAAGAUGGUUCUUUCCCCUCUCGCAUUCUUCCCAUCAAAAAAGGUUUUGUCUUUUUCUCAAAAUCACAUUAAAGAAUCGUUUUUCUGUUUGUAUAUUUAUAAUGUUUGGUUAUAGAUUUGAUUGAACUGAUGUUUUGGUAAUUCCAGAAAGUAGCAGCGUUAAUGUUAUAGACGAUGCUAGAGAUAAUAGAGAACUUAUUGACGAUAAUGAAUCUCAAAACUUCACUGCUGAAAAGAUUGAAGCUAUGCGGACGUUUGAACAAGACUUAAUUUCUCUGUGUGUUUAUAUAUAGAAGAAUCUGCUAACUUUUGUUAAUGCGUAGAGAGGGUGCAAAAGGGGAUGAGAUUAUUGAAGCACUGAUCGCAAACAGCAAAACAUUUGACAAGAAGUUUCAGUUGUCUUAGCUUAGAAAAAAAUAUCUGCCUAAGAAGCAGAAGAAGUAUGUGCGAAAGUAUCUCGCAUACUCGGAUGUGCUUGUGGUGGAUAUGGUUGGUGGUCUUGUCACUGGUGCAGUGGCUGAACGUCUAGGAGGCACUGGUUAUGUUUGCAAUACAUAUAAGGGAGAUUCUCUCUCUCUCUCUCAAAUUAAAAACCAUAUGUAGUUGAACAUUGUGUAGGCUCGUGCAUUCAUCUAUAAACGAGCUCUCAUCACCCAAAGUUGUACACCCUAAAGAAAACAAUCAACAAGU